RNAcentral lists this ribosomal RNA (425 nucleotides) under uncultured bacterium. RNAcentral describes it as "partial 16S ribosomal RNA". It matches the Rfam family "Bacterial small subunit ribosomal RNA", at positions 354 to 796 of the family's 1533-position model. The record is from RNAcentral.
GUGGGGAAUCUUGCGCAAUGGGCGAAAGCCUGACGCAGCCAUGCCGCGUGAAUGAUGAAGGUCUUAGGAUUGUAAAAUUCUUUCACCGGGGACGAUAAUGACGGUACCCGGAGAAGAAGCCCCGGCUAACUUCGUGCCAGCAGCCGCGGUAAUACGAAGGGGGCUGGCGUUGCUCGGAAUUACUGGGCGUAAAGGGCGCGUAGGCGGACAGUUUAGUCAGAGGUGAAAGCCCAGGGCUCAACCUUGGAAUUGCCUUUGAUACUGGCUGUCUUGAGUACGGGAGAGGUGAGUGGAACUCCGAGUGUAGAGGUGAAAUUCGUAGAUAUUCGGAAGAACACCAGUGGCGAAGGCGACUCACUGGCCCGUUACUGACGCUGAGGCGCGAAAGCGUGGGGAGCAAACAGGAUUAGAAACCCCAGUAGUCC